UGAGUGCGAGCUGCUACGGCAGCGAAGUUGGUGACGUCAAGCUUCCAAGAAAAGCCCUACACCCGUUAAGGCAUCAUGGCCUGUACCCGAAACCGACACAGGUGGGGUGGUAGAGAAUACCGAGGGGCGCGAGGUAACUCUCUCUAAGGAACUCGGCAAAAUGGCCCCGUAACUUCGGGAGAAGGGGUGCCAGCGAGAGCUGGUCGCAGUGAAGAGGCCCAGGCGACUGUUUACCAAAAACACAGGUCUCCGCUAAGUCGCAAGACGAUGUAUGGGGGCUGACGCCUGCCCAGUGCCGGAAGGUUAAGGAAGCUGGUCAGCGCAAGCGAAGCUAGCGACUGAAGCCCCGGUGAACGGCGGCCGUAACUAUAACGGUCCUAAGGUAGCGAAAUUCCUUGUCGGGUAAGUUCCGACCCGCACGAAAGGCGUAACGAUCUGGGCGCUGUCUCGGAGAGAGGCUCGGCGAAAUAGAAUUGUCUGUGAAGAUGCGGACUACGUGCACCCGGACAGAAAGACCCUAUGAAGCUUUACUGUAGCUUGGUAUUGUGCUCGGGCUCGGAAUGCGCAGGAUAGGUGGGAGGCUUGGAUCCAUUGCUUGCGGGUGAUGGUGAGCCACUGGUGAGAUACCACUCUUUCCGAGCUAGAGUUCUAACCCUUGCCCGUUAUCCGGGGAGGGGACAGUAUCAGGUGGGCAGUUUGACUGGGGCGGUCGCCUCCUAAAAGGUAACGGAGGCGUGCAAAGGUUCCCUCAGGCUGGUUGGAAAUCAGCCGACGAGUGCAAAGGCAGAAGGGAGCUUGACUGUGAGACCUACAAGUCGAACAGGGACGAAAGUCGGCCUUAGUGAUCCGACGGUUCUGCGUGGAAGGGCCGUCGCUCAACGGAUAAAAGUUACUCUAGGAUAACAGGCUGAUCUCCCCCAAGAGUUCACAUCGACGGGGAGGUUUGGCACCUCGAUGUCGGCUCAUCGCAACCUGGGGCUGAAGUCGGUCCCAAGGGUUGGGCUGUUCGCCCAUUAAAGCGGUACGCGAGCUGGGUUCAGAACGUCGUGAGACAGUUCGGUCCAUAUCCGGUGCACGCGCAGGAAUAUUGAGAGGAUUUCUCCCUAGUACGAGAGGACCGGGAGGAACGCACCUCUGGUGUGCCAGUUAUCGUGCCAACGGUAAACGCUGGGUAGCCAUGUGCGGAGAGGAUAACCGCUGAAAGCAUCUAAGUGGGAAGCCCACCUCAAGAUGAGUAUUCCCAUGGCAAAAGCCAGUAAGGUCACGGGAAGAUUACCCGUUGAUAGGCUCUACGUGGAAGCGCAGCAAUGCGUGAAGCGGAGGAGUACUAAUAGACCGAGGGCUUGACC
Molecule: ribosomal RNA, 1349 nt
Filed under: metagenome
Description: bacterial LSU rRNA
Rfam family: Bacterial large subunit ribosomal RNA
Source: RNAcentral